AGACGGCUCAUUGACACGUGGUUCACUUACCCUCUGGUGGGGCAUAACCUUGGGAAACUGAAAAUAAUUCCCCAUAAGAAAAGCGGUCUGGAACGAUUCUUUUCUGAAUGUUUAUGCUGCCUAUGAUAGGACUGCGCUCGAUUAUGUAUUUGGUGGGGUAAUGGCCCACCAAGCCUACCAUCGAUACUGGCCUUGAGAGAGGGAGCCCGGACAUGGGGACUGAGACUCGGUCCCAGGCCCUAUCGGGCGCACCACGGGCGAAACCUCCGCAAUGCACUUUGUGCGACGGGGGAACCCCUAGUGCCACUCUUAACGGGGUGGCUUUUCAGAAAUGUAAAAAGCUUCUGGAAUAAGGGCUGGGCAAGACCGGUGCCAGCCACCGCGGUAACACCGGCCGCUCAUGUGGUAGCCUCUUUUAUUGGGCCUAAUUCGUCCGUAUCCGGUCUGAUAAGUCUCUGGUGAAAUCCCACAGCUUAACUGUGGGAAUAGCUGGAUAUACUAUCAUGACUCGAGGUCGGGAUAGGCUGGAGGUACUCCCAGGGUAAGGGUGAAAUCCUGUAAUCCUGGGAGGACCAUCUGUGGCGAAAGCGCCCCGCUGGAACUCGUCCUACAGUGAGGGACAAAGGGCAGGGCAACAGACCGGAUUACAUACCCGGGUAGUCCUGCCUGUAAACGAUGCAGGCUACGUGUCGAGUGAUGCUUCUAGCUUAGCCCGGUGCCUUAGGGAAUGCCGUUAAGCCCGCCGCCUGGCUAGUACCG
Molecule: ribosomal RNA, 759 nt
Filed under: uncultured archaeon
Lineage: Archaea
Description: bacterial SSU rRNA
Rfam family: Archaeal small subunit ribosomal RNA
Source: RNAcentral